AGCAGCCGCGGUAAUUCCAGCUCCAAUAGCGUAUAUUAAAGUUGUUGCAGUUAAAAAGCUCGUAGUUGAAUUUCGGGGUUAGUAGGUUGGUCGUGCCACUGGUAUGCACUGGCUUUACUGACUCCUCCUUCUUGAAGAACUGUAAUGUCAUUAAUUUGGUGUUGCAGGGAAACAGGACUGUUACUUUGAAAAAUUAGAGUGUUUAAAGCAGGCUAACGCUUGAAUACAUUAGCAUGGAAUAAUGAAAUAGGACGUUUAAUUCUAUUUUGUUGGUUUCUAGGAUUGACGUAAUGAUUAAUAGGGAUAGUUGGGGGCAUUAGUAUUCAAUUGUCAGAGGUGAAAUUCUUGGAUUUAUUGAAG
Molecule: ribosomal RNA, 360 nt
Filed under: uncultured Glomeromycotina
Lineage: Eukaryota; Fungi; Glomeromycota
Description: SSU rRNA
Rfam family: Eukaryotic small subunit ribosomal RNA
Source: RNAcentral